CCUACGGGUGGCUGCAGUGGGGAAUAUUGGACAAUGGGCGAAAGCCUGAUCCGGCCAUGCCGCGUGUGUGAAGAAGGCCUUCGGGUUGUAAAGCACUUUCAGUGGGGAAGAAAGCCUUGGGGCUAAUACCCUCGAGGAAGGACAUCACCCACAGAAGAAGCACCGGCUAACUCCGUGCCAGCAGCCGCGGUAAUACGGAGGGUGCGAGCGUUAAUCGGAAUUACUGGGCGUAAAGCGCGCGUAGGCGGUCUGAUAAGCCGGUUGUGAAAGCCCCGGGCUCAACCUGGGAACGGCAUCCGGAACUGUCAGGCUAGAGUGCAGGAGAGGAAGGUAGAAUUCCCGGUGUAGCAGUGAAAUGCGUAGAGAUCGGGAGGAAUACCAGUGGCGAAGGCGGCCUUCUGGACUGACACUGACGCUGAGGUGCGAAAGCGUGGGUAGCAAACAGGAUUAGAUACCCGAGUAGUC
RNAcentral lists this ribosomal RNA (465 nucleotides) under Vreelandella stevensii. RNAcentral's name for it is "partial 16S ribosomal RNA". It matches the Rfam family "Bacterial small subunit ribosomal RNA", at positions 338 to 795 of the family's 1533-position model. Lineage: Bacteria; Pseudomonadati; Pseudomonadota; Gammaproteobacteria; Oceanospirillales; Halomonadaceae. The record is from RNAcentral.